Molecule: non-coding RNA, 196 nt
Organism: Paramuricea clavata
Lineage: Eukaryota; Metazoa; Cnidaria; Anthozoa; Malacalcyonacea; Plexauridae
Source: the annotation of a GenBank genome assembly
UGUUUGUGACGUCGACGUUAUAAACACGAUCAACUUUGAUGUUUAUGACCUCGAUUUUCGACGUGAUAAACACGAUCAACUUAUGUGUUUAUGACGUCGACGUUAUAAACACGAUCAACUUUGGUGUUUAUGACGUCGAUAUUCGACGUCAUAAACACGAUAAACUUUGGUGUUUAUGACGUCGACGUCACAAACA